AUGGGCCGUUGGAUCCGUUUGUUUUUCAUUGUAGCCGCUUUAGAAGGUGUCCGGUCCCAGGUCCAGCUAGUGGAGUCCGGAGGGGAUGAGAAAAAGCCCGGAGACUCUCUCCGCCUCUCCUGCAAAGCCUCCGGGUUCACCUUCAGCAGCGCCUACAUGGAUUGGGUCCGACAGGCUCCCGGGAAGGGGCUGGAGUGGGUGGCUGAGAUUAGGCCCGAUGGAUCGAGUCAAUCGUAUUCCCCAGCUGUGAAAGGCCGAUUCACCAUCUCCAGGGACAAUUCCAAGAGUGAGCUGUAUCUGCAAAUGACCGGCCUGAAGCCCGAGGACACCGCUCGCUAUUACUGUGGCAGACACUAUUCACACACAGAGAGACUAAAACUGUCGAUGCUAAUACAAAAACCAGAGCUGUGGAACUUCCCGCGCCUGCCGCAUGGGGGCAGCAAUGACACAAGCAAAACUCUCCUGUCUUGGGCACAAGAGAGCGAAGGGCCUCAGGACUGA
Non-coding RNA from Chrysemys picta bellii (western painted turtle), 501 nucleotides. Lineage: Eukaryota; Metazoa; Chordata; Testudines; Emydidae. The record is from the annotation of a RefSeq genome assembly.